RNAcentral lists this ribosomal RNA (468 nucleotides) under uncultured bacterium. RNAcentral's name for it is "partial 16S ribosomal RNA". It matches the Rfam family "Bacterial small subunit ribosomal RNA", at positions 28 to 507 of the family's 1533-position model. The record is from RNAcentral.
GACGAACGCUGGCGGCGUGCUUAACACAUGCAAGUCGAACGGAAAGGCCCUGCUUUUGUGGGGUGCUCGAGUGGCGAACGGGUGAGUAACACGUGAGUAACCUGCCCUCGACUUUGGGAUAACUUCAGGAAACUGGGGCUAAUACCGGAUAGGAGCUCCUGCUGCAUGGUGGGGGUUGGAAAGUUUCGGCGGUUGGGGAUGGACUCGCGGCUUAUCAGCUUGUUGGUGGGGUAGUGGCUUACCCAGGCUUUGACGGGUAGCCGGCCUGAGAGGGUGACCGGCCACAUUGGGACUGAGAUACGGCCCAGACUCCUACGGGAGGCAGCAGUGGGGAAUAUUGCACAAUGGGCGGAAGCCUGAUGCAGCAACGCCGCGUGCGGGAUGACGGCCUUCGGGUUGUAAACCGCUUUCGCCUGUGACGAAGCGUGAGUGACGGUAAUGGGUAAAGAAGCACCGGCUAACUACGUG